UACGUAGGGGGCAAGCGUUGUCCGGAUUCAUUGGGCGUAAAGAGCUCGUAGGCGGUUCAGUAAGUCGGGUGUGAAAUCUCCGUGCUCAACACGGAGCGGCCACCUGAUACUGCUGUGACUCGAGUCCGGUAGGGGAGUGUGGAAUUCCCGGUGUAGCGGUGAAAUGCGCAGAUAUCGGGAGGAACACCGGUGGCGAAGGCGGGUCUCUGGGCCGAUACUGACGCUGAGGAGCGAAAGCGUGGGGAGCGAACAGG
This 254-nucleotide ribosomal RNA is filed under the name uncultured bacterium. RNAcentral's name for it is "partial 16S ribosomal RNA". It matches the Rfam family "Bacterial small subunit ribosomal RNA", at positions 524 to 776 of the family's 1533-position model. The record is from RNAcentral.